RNAcentral lists this ribosomal RNA (405 nucleotides) under uncultured bacterium. RNAcentral describes it as "bacterial SSU rRNA". It matches the Rfam family "Bacterial small subunit ribosomal RNA", at positions 356 to 772 of the family's 1533-position model. The record is from RNAcentral.
AGGGAAUUUUGCACAAUGAGCGAAAGCUUGAUGCAGCGACGCCGCGUGCGGGAUGAAUGCCUUCGGGUUGUAAACCGCUUUCAGGAGGGACGAAGCGAAAGUGACGGUACCUUCAGAAGAAGCCCCGGCCAACUACGUGCCAGCAGCCGCGGUAAUACGUAGGGGGCGAACGUUGUCCGGAUUUAUUGGGCGUAAAGAGCUCGUAGGCGGCUCAACAAGUCGGCCGUGAAAACCCGGGGCUCAACCCCGGGACGCCGGUCGAAACUGCUGUGGCUAGGGUUCGGUAGAGGAGAGUGGAAUUCCCGGUGUAGCGGUGAAAUGCGCAGAUAUCGGGAGGAACACCAGUAGCGAAGGCGGCUCUCUGGGCCGAUACCGACGCUGAGGAGCGAAAGCUAGGGGAGCAAA